UACGGAGGGUGCAAGCGUUAUCCGGAUUUACUGGGUUUAAAGGGUGUGUAGGCGGGUCUUUAAGUCAGGGGUGAAAUCUCCGAGCUUAACUUGGAAACUGCCAUUGAUACUAUUGAUCUUGAAUUCUGUUGAGGUGGGCGGAAUAUGUCAUGUAGCGGUGAAAUGCAUAGAUAUGACAUAGAACACCAAUUGCGAAGGCAGCUCACUAAGCAGAUAUUGACGCUGAGGCACGAAAGCGUGGGGAUCAAACAGG
This 253-nucleotide ribosomal RNA is filed under the name uncultured bacterium. RNAcentral's name for it is "partial 16S ribosomal RNA". It matches the Rfam family "Bacterial small subunit ribosomal RNA", at positions 524 to 776 of the family's 1533-position model. The record is from RNAcentral.